UACGUAGGGGCCGAGCGUUGUCCGGAGUUACUGGGCGUAAAGCGCGCGCAGGCGGCUUGGCGCGCCCGGCGUGAAAGCCCCCGGCUCAACCGGGGAGGGUCGUCGGGGACGGUCAGGCUUGAGGACGGCAGGGGCUGGUGGAAUUCCCGGUGUAGUGGUGAAAUGCGUAGAGAUCGGGAGGAACACCCGUGGCGAAGGCGGCCAGCUGGGCCGGGCCUGACGCUGAGGCGCGAAGGCGUGGGGAGCGAACGGGAUUAGAAACCCCAGUAGUCC
RNAcentral lists this ribosomal RNA (273 nucleotides) under uncultured bacterium. RNAcentral describes it as "partial 16S ribosomal RNA". It matches the Rfam family "Bacterial small subunit ribosomal RNA", at positions 524 to 796 of the family's 1533-position model. The record is from RNAcentral.